UCGCUUAUGCAGCACACAUACUAAAAUUGGAGCGAUACAGAGAGGAUUUGCACGGCCCCCGGGCAAGGCUGACAUGCAGUUAGUGAAGCGCUCCAUAGUUUU
RNAcentral lists this small nuclear RNA (102 nucleotides) under Moschus moschiferus (Siberian musk deer). Lineage: Eukaryota; Metazoa; Chordata; Mammalia; Artiodactyla; Moschidae. The record is from RNAcentral.